RNAcentral lists this ribosomal RNA (492 nucleotides) under uncultured bacterium. RNAcentral's name for it is "partial 16S ribosomal RNA". It matches the Rfam family "Bacterial small subunit ribosomal RNA", at positions 29 to 507 of the family's 1533-position model. The record is from RNAcentral.
AGUGAACGCUGGCGGUAGGCCUAACACAUGCAAGUCGAACGGCAGCACAGUAGGAGCUUGCUCUUACGGGUGGCGAGUGGCGGACGGGUGAGGAAUACAUCGGAAUCUACUUUUUCGUGGGGGAUAACGUAGGGAAACUUACGCUAAUACCGCAUACGACCUACGGGUGAAAGCAGGGGAUCUUCGGACCUUGCGCGAUUGAAUGAGCCGAUGUCGGAUUAGCUAGUUGGCGGGGUAAAGGCCCACCAAGGCGACGAUCCGUAGCUGGUCUGAGAGGAUGAUCAGCCACACUGGAACUGAGACACGGUCCAGACUCCUACGGGAGGCAGCAGUGGGGAAUAUUGAACAAUGGGCGCAAGCCUGAUCCAGCCAUACCGCGUGGGUGAAGAAGGCCUUCGGGUUGUAAAGCCCUUUUGUUGGGAAAGAAAAGCAGCAGGUUAAUACCCCGCUGUUCUGACGGUACCCAAAGAAUAAGCACCGGCUAACUUCGUG